RNAcentral lists this ribosomal RNA (451 nucleotides) under uncultured bacterium. Its description in RNAcentral is "partial 16S ribosomal RNA". It matches the Rfam family "Bacterial small subunit ribosomal RNA", at positions 354 to 796 of the family's 1533-position model. The record is from RNAcentral.
GUGGGGAAUAUUGGACAAUGGGGGGAACCCUGAUCCAGCCAUGCCGCGUGUGUGAAGAAGGCCUUUUGGUUGUAAAGCACUUUAAGCGAGGAGGAGGCUACCGAGAUUAAUACUCUUGGAUAGUGGACGUUACUCGCAGAAUAAGCACCGGCUAACUCUGUGCCAGCAGCCGCGGUAAUACAGAGGGUGCAAGCGUUAAUCGGAUUUACUGGGCGUAAAGCGCGCGUAGGUGGCCAAUUAAGUCAAAUGUGAAAUCCCCGAGCUUAACUUGGGAAGUGCAUUCGAUACUGGUUGGCUAGAGGAUGGGAGAGGAUGGUAGAAUUCCAGGUGUAGCGGUGAAAUGCGUAGAGAUCUGGAGGAAUACCGAUGGCGAAGGCAGCCAUCUGGCCUAAUACUGACACUGAGGUGCGAAAGCAUGGGGAGCAAACAGGAUUAGAAACCCGUGUAGUCC